GACGAACGCUGGCGGCGUGCUUAACACAUGCAAGUCGAGCGGGAUUUGAGAGCUUGCUCUCAAAUCUAGCGGCGGACGGGUGAGUAACACGUGGGUAAUCUGCCCUCAAGUGGGGAAUAACACAGAGAAAUCUGUGCUAAUACCGCAUAAUGUAUGCUAGUCGCAUGGCUGGCAUAAAAAAGAUUUAUUGCUUGAGGAUGAGCCCGCGGCCCAUUAGCUAGUUGGUGAGGUAAAAGCCCACCAAGGCCACGAUGGGUAGCCGACCUGAGAGGGUGAUCGGCCACAUUGGAACUGAGAUACGGUCCAGACUCCUACGGGAGGCAG
Molecule: ribosomal RNA, 324 nt
Filed under: uncultured Bacillota bacterium
Lineage: Bacteria; Bacillati; Bacillota
Description: bacterial SSU rRNA
Rfam family: Bacterial small subunit ribosomal RNA
Source: RNAcentral